AACCACAACAUAUUUGUUUAAAUGCAUUCAUCCUCCAUUUUGCAUUGCCUUACAUAUAAAAAUAAAAAAUAAAAAAAAUAUUUGCCUCUUGUCUUCAUCACUCAAUAUCUUGUCUCUAGUAUAAUGAAUCUUGUUCAUCUUAUCAUGCUCCCUCUUUCUAUGUUAGUAUGCUUUGGUUUGGUUAUACGAAUCGCUCAAGUGAGUACCUCCAUAGUCUUUUUAAAUUAAGCAUGGUGCUUAGGUUAAAUAGACUACCUUAAUAAAACAAGACAUGGUGUUAAGUUUGAUUAUUGAACCAAACAUACUUGCAUGGAACUUGGUUGCACUUUUGGAGUAACCCCUAC
Molecule: long non-coding RNA, 344 nt
Filed under: Sorghum bicolor (sorghum)
Lineage: Eukaryota; Viridiplantae; Streptophyta; Magnoliopsida; Poales; Poaceae
Description: long non-coding RNA (SBIC_LNC004950)
Source: RNAcentral